This 1711-nucleotide long non-coding RNA is filed under the name Equus asinus (donkey). Its description in RNAcentral is "lncRNA (ENSEASG00005032494.1)". Lineage: Eukaryota; Metazoa; Chordata; Mammalia; Perissodactyla; Equidae. The record is from RNAcentral.
AAAACGCUUCCUGCGCUUUAUUGCCUUUGGAAUACAAAUCCCACAGUCACUUGCCGACUGUGUGUCUUCGUCAUAGGAUCUGAUUCUGGAAGAGACCUUAGAGGUCAUAUAGUUGAACUCCAGAUGUCCUAAUGUCUGUCUUCUUUCAGAAUGCUUCAAGCCAUUACCUGGACUCUGUAACCCUGCCGCUGGAUGCCUAGUGAAGUCAUUUGACACGGACAGUGUGUGGAGGCAAGGUCUCUAAAUCUCCAGCUGAGCUACGAUGACACAGAAGCUCAUCCCGACACAGUAGAUUCUUUUGUGUUUAUCGACUCUGCACAUGAGAGUGAAGACAACAAGCAAUGUCACUGUGUUCGGUUAUUACCUUCUCCUCCAAGAGGCAGCAAGAAGGAAGACUUAGCUCACCAGCCCGGGUCCAAACAACAAGAAAAAAUAUUUCAGCAUUAUUCACAAUGGCCAGGACAUGGAAGCAACCUAAGUGCCCAUUGAUGGAUGAAUGGAUAAAGAAGUUGUGGAGAGGAAGAUCCCAGACCUUGGAAAUAGCCAUUUUUGAUCCCCAGAAAGAAGAAAUCCUGAAUUAACAAAGAAGAGGCUUAGGGCUCAGGUCUCUGAAGUCACUUGCUCAGGGACCCUGGCGAUGGAGACCUGGGAGGGAGAUUAUAGAAAGACUCAAGGUUUCCGGAGUUUGGACUGCUUAUGUAAACUUGGUGAGACAGCUACUGACCCCAAGGUCACCGUGACACCCCCUUUCGCAAAACACUGCUCUCUAGGUACAACAUCUUUACUAUUUUGGGUAAUUUUUCUUUAUCUACCGGAAUCUCCGUGGAGGCCCUUUCUCUCUCAUUUCUCUCCUGUGUAAGUGAAAUAAAGAGUUAGAAUCUAUAACUUCACAGGCCUUGAAAUUCUAUUUUUGUUCAUACUGCCACAGUGAAAUGAUUUCUGAAUUUUCUGUUGCUUUCCCUUCAGCCAUGAGUUUCAUUUGCCAAGUAUCUGAAUAGCAGAGGAUUCGAUUCUGUGCGCCGAUACAUUUGUGUUUAGUAGGCACAGAUCUCUCUCGACAACCAUCCUUUCUUCACACUAGUGGCUUUUAAACGGUUCAGGACUUUAGAAAUACCAUAAUCUCAGUAUAUUAAAUAUUAAGGGACUCCUUCAGAUUCCCAGAGCCUUAAAGGGAUGCUGUUCAAAUCGGUAAGAGCGCGUUUCCAUGGUGCAGAAUCGAAGUUACGCAGGGCUUCUUGAAGCAGCAGGACUAUAAGCGUCACUCCCGCCGCUGCCUUUCACAAGGGCCCACUUGUUGGGAAAUAUUUUGAAAACAGAGCUGAAGUGGAGAUAACGCAGAGCGCAAACAGGCGGAAAUAAGAAUAAACCGAGCGUGGCUGGCAGAAACCGAGAGCUUGGCAGUUUCUGCAAAGGAAGAGAAGGCUUGGCAAGCCGAGGGGAGGAAAACCCCCCAGGGCCGUUGUUUAGAGACCUCCCGAGGGCGUUUCCCUUGCCCCCAGGGCUGGGGGAGCUCCCCAGGGCAGAGGAAGCAGCCCCCCCAGAACCGCUUCCGGGACUGCCUCUUCCCUCGCGCCCCCAGGGAGCAGCGCCUUCUCAGGCCACCACUCCUCGCGACCCAAAAAUAACCACACAGAUGCAAGGAAAAGGGCCAAAGCCCGGGGCAGGGGGCGGUGCUUAGCCGCCGUCUUAUCGCUCCCAGCCAGAACGUUCC